Molecule: ribosomal RNA, 413 nt
Filed under: uncultured organism
Description: bacterial SSU rRNA
Rfam family: Bacterial small subunit ribosomal RNA
Source: RNAcentral
GGCGGCGUGCCUAAUACAUGCAAGCCGAACGAAGCUUUCUUUCACCGAAUGCUUGCAUUCACCGAAAGAAGCUUAGUGGCGAACGGGUGAGUAACACGUAGGCAACCUGCCCAAAAGAGGGGGAUAACACUUGGAAACAGGUGCUAAUACCGCAUAACCAUGAACACCGCAUGAUGUUCAUGUAAAAGACGGCUUUUGCUGUCACUUUUGGAUGGGCCUGCGGCGUAUUAACUUGUUGGUGGGGUAACGGCCUACCAAGGUGAUGAUACGUAGCCGAACUGAGAGGUUGAUCGGCCACAUUGGGACUGAGACACGGCCCAAACUCCUACGGGAGGCAGCAGUAGGGAAUCUUCCACAAUGGACGAAAGUCUGAUGGAGCAACGCCGCGUGAAUGAAGAAGGCCUUCGGGUCGU